UCCGUAGGUGAACCUGCGGAAGGAUCAUUACCUAGAGUUGUAGGCUUUGCCUGCUAUCUCUUACCCAUGUCUUUUGAGUACCUUACGUUUCCUCGGUGGGUUCGCCCACCGAUUGGACAAAUUUAAACCCUUUGUAGUUGAAAUCAGCGUCUGAAAAAACUUAAUAGUUACAACUUUCAACAACGGAUCUCUUGGUUCUGGCAUCGAUGAAGAACGCAGCGAAAUGCGAUAAGUAGUGUGAAUUGCAGAAUUCAGUGAAUCAUCGAAUCUUUGAACGCACAUUGCGCCCCUUGGUAUUCCAUGGGGCAUGCCUGUUCGAGCGUCAUUUGUACCUUCAAGCUCUGCUUGGUGUUGGGUGUUUGUCUCCUGUAGACUCGCCUUAAAACAAUUGGCAGCCGGCGUAUUGAUUUCGGAGCGCAGUACAUCUCGCGCUUUGCACUCAUAACGACGACAUCCAAAAGUACAUUUUUACACUCUUGACCUCGGAUCAGGUAGGGAUACCCGCUGAACUUAAGCAUAUCAAUAAGCGGAGGA
This 534-nucleotide ribosomal RNA is filed under the name uncultured Ascomycota. Its description in RNAcentral is "eukaryotic LSU rRNA". The stretch from base 172 to 325 matches the Rfam family "5.8S ribosomal RNA". The record is from RNAcentral. Lineage: Eukaryota; Fungi; Ascomycota.